This 301-nucleotide ribosomal RNA is filed under the name uncultured bacterium. Its description in RNAcentral is "partial 16S ribosomal RNA". It matches the Rfam family "Bacterial small subunit ribosomal RNA", at positions 509 to 807 of the family's 1533-position model. The record is from RNAcentral.
CAGCAGCCGCGGUAAUACGAAGGGUGCAAGCGUUAAUCGGAAUUACUGGGCGUAAAGCGUGCGUAGGCGGUGAGUUAAGUCUGUUGUGAAAUCCUCGGGCUCAACCUGGGAAUGGCAAUGGAUACUGGCAAGCUAGAGUGUGUCAGAGGAUGGUAGAAUUCCCGGUGUAGCGGUGAAAUGCGUAGAGAUCGGGAGGAACAUUAGUGGCGAAGGCGGCCAUCUGGGACAACACUGACGCUGAGGCACGAAAGCGUGGGGAGCAAACAGGAUUAGAGACCCCCGUAGUCCCUGUCUCUUAUAC